Long non-coding RNA from Cimex lectularius (bed bug), 646 nucleotides. RefSeq lists it as uncharacterized. The transcript is spliced from 2 exons. Lineage: Eukaryota; Metazoa; Arthropoda; Insecta; Hemiptera; Cimicidae. The record is from RefSeq and is a predicted model, not a curated record.
UGACAAAAUGACAUAUUUUAUAAAUAAUCAUAGAAAUACAUAUUUUAUAUAACAAGUUGUAAUCGAAAAAAUUUCUGUAAUUCUAAGAAAUAGCAUAAUCUGGAAUAUUUGUACUUGCAUACAUGUGGCACUAAAUAAUUAUCAUACGUUUAUAUUAAUCCAUAUUUUAUGAAAACAGUUGUUUGUUUCAUACUUCGGUUUUAUUGUUUGAGGAAAAUAAAUGUUAUAGAAAUUGACAAACUUAAGCACACAUAUAAGCAUAAGCCUAAACAUGAUAUAAUAUUUUCCAAAAGAGGUAAAUUUGAAAAGUUGAGAUGAUGAGUGUUAAUCAGAAAUUCCAGUCCAGGCCAACCUCCGCCACCGCCUCCGACUUACAACCACCUCACAACUUUGAUGGGUUCUCACGACCACAUUUUACCGAAAUCCUUGUGCAAGAACAGGGAAAGAAAGGCCAGACAAUUGAAAAUAAGAAGUGACCAAAUAAAAUGUUGCCAAUAUUUUAUGUACUCAGGGAGACAAACCUGACUUAAGGAUUAUCAUCAAACGACAUCGUCAACUCAUGACAAUUCACAACUGGCCGUUUUUUUCUCUUUAUUUCAAGAUGCAAAGGAUGUACAGGCGAUUAUUAAACUUUUGAUCCGCUUCA